Molecule: transfer RNA, 73 nt
Filed under: Haemaphysalis longicornis (longhorned tick)
Lineage: Eukaryota; Metazoa; Arthropoda; Arachnida; Ixodida; Ixodidae
Rfam family: tRNA
About the family: Transfer RNA (tRNA) molecules are approximately 80 nucleotides in length. Their secondary structure includes four short double-helical elements and three loops (D, anti-codon, and T loops).
Source: Rfam by way of RNAcentral
GCCGAAAUAGCUCAGUUGGGAGAGCGUUAGACUGAAGAUAUGAAGGUCCCUGGUUCGAUCCCGGGUUUCGGCA